This 373-nucleotide ribosomal RNA is filed under the name uncultured bacterium. RNAcentral describes it as "bacterial SSU rRNA". It matches the Rfam family "Bacterial small subunit ribosomal RNA", at positions 525 to 896 of the family's 1533-position model. The record is from RNAcentral.
ACAGAGGUGGCAAGCGUUGUUCGGAAUUACUGGGCGUAAAGGGCGCGUAGGCGGCCCGCCAAGUCCCGUGUGAAAGCCCCCGGCUCAACCGGGGAACGGCGCGGGAAACUAGCAGGCUUGAGUUCGGGAGAGGGAAGCGGAAUUCCGGGUGUAGCGGUGAAAUGCGCAGAUAUCCGGAGGAACACCGGUGGCGAAGGCGGCUUCCUGGACCGACACUGACGCUGAGGCGCGAAAGCUAGGGGAGCAAACGGGAUUAGAUACCCCGGUAGUCCUAGCCCUAAACGAUGAGAACUGGGUGUAGGGGGUAUGAACCCCCCCUGUGCCGAAGCUAACGCAUUAAGUUCUCCGCCUGGGGAGUACGGUCGCAAGGCUG